Molecule: ribosomal RNA, 450 nt
Filed under: uncultured bacterium
Lineage: Bacteria
Description: bacterial SSU rRNA
Rfam family: Bacterial small subunit ribosomal RNA
Source: RNAcentral
GUAGGGAAUAUUGGACAAUGGGCGCAAGCCUGAUCCAGCAAUGCCGUGUGUGUGAAGAAGGCCUGCGGGUUGUAAAGCACUUUCAGAUGGGAAGAAAAGUGGAUGGCUAAUACCUAUCCAGAUUGACGUUACCAUCAGAAGAAGCACCGGCUAACUCUGUGCCAGCAGCCGCGGUAAGACAGAGGGUGCAAGCGUUAAUCGGAAUUACUGGGCGUAAAGCAUGCGCAGGUGGCUAUGUCAGUCGAGUGUGAAAGCCCCGGGCUUAACCUGGGAACAGCAUUCGAUACUACAUGGCUAGAGUAUGGUAGAGGGAGGCGGAAUUCCACGUGUAGCGGUGAAAUGCGUAGAUAUGUGGAGGAACACCAGUGGCGAAGGCGGCUUCCUGGACCAAUACUGACACUCAGGCAUGAAAGCGUGGGGAGCAAACAGGAUUAGAUACCCCAGUAGUCC